Non-coding RNA from Aegilops tauschii subsp. strangulata, 2107 nucleotides. The record is from RefSeq and is a predicted model, not a curated record. NCBI's taxonomy places the organism in Eukaryota, Viridiplantae, Streptophyta, Magnoliopsida, Poales, Poaceae.
UUGAUGAGCUGGGAAACCCCUCCUUCGCCCACUCCACUCCUCUCGCCCCAUUCCCCACCAUCCGCCGCCCUCCCAUGUCCUCCCUCGCGGCCGCCGCCGCCGCCGCCGUCGCCGCCGCCUCCACCUGGGUAAAAAGCCUCUCCCGCAUCAUCCCCUCCUCCACGCCAGCCGUAAAACCACCCAAGCGCAAUCCCAAGACCACCACCGAUGCUGGCUCCAUCCCGGAUCAGAAGCUCCCGAAGCCCCUCGGCGCACAUCCCGCCGGCGAAGCCGAGUCCGACGCGGGCCACAAGCUAGGGAAGCCCCUUGGCGGUGUCCUCAAGGCCCUCAUCAGGGAGCGGGACCCUGAUAAGCUGGUCUCCAAGUUCGUCGAAGCCUCGUCCGCAUCGUCCCGCUUCCGCGACGGGCGCCGCGCGUACGAUGUAGCGGUGAGCCGCCUCACUUCCUUGGGCCGCAAAGACGGCAUCGAGGCCAUCAUCGAGGCGCAGAAGCCCUUCCUCGAGACCUCGAGCGAGGGAUUUGCCACGCGCCUCAUCCGCCUCUACGGCAGUGCCUCCAUGCCAUCCCACGCGGCCGCAACCUUCCAUCUACUCCCCGCGCGGCAUAAGUCCACGAGGACAUUCAACGCCGUCCUUGCCGCGUACGCCGAGGCCGGAGAUGUUGCCGCGCUCACUGCUGCAUUCCAGGAGAUCCCAGCCGCCCACCCCUCCAUUGUGCCCGACCUAUACUCUUACAACGCGCUCAUCCGCACAUUGUGCCAGAAGUCCAACCUCUCAGCCGCUCUUUAUGCUGUCCAUCUCAUGAAGAAGCACGGUGUUUCACCUGACAUUAUUACUUUCAACUCGCUCUUGGAUGGUUUUCACAACAGUGGCCGUAAUGAUGAAGCCGAGAAAGUAUGGCAAAUGAUUAAGGAGAGGAAUUUGGAGCCAGACGCAAAAUGCUACAAUGCAAAGCUGCGUGGUUUGGUUGCACAAGGGAGGAUUGAUGAUGCAGCUUCUGUGCUUGAGAGGUUGGAGAAGGACGGGCCAAAACCCAAUAUAGUAUCCUACAAUGAGUUGAUUCGAGGAUAUUGCAAAGCAGGGAGGUUCCAGGAGGCCAAGAAGGUGUAUGAUAAUUUGAUGAAGAAUGAGUGUGUCCCAAAUAAGGGGACAUAUGAGAUUCUCGUGCCACACCUUCUGCAGGCUGGAGAGCUGGAUUGUGCACUGAGUUACUGUUAUGAUAUCUUUGCUAGUAAAAAGUGCUGUGGAGUCGAGUGGGGUGUGCUGCAGGAUGUAGUGAAUGCAUUGGUAGAUGCAUCGAGGGUGGUGGAGGCCACCAAGCUUGUUGAGCUUGACUGGCAGAAGUACUACCAUCGGAAGGGUUUGAGGAUGCCGCCUAGUGCUGGAACUGAUGAGGAAGAAUCAAUAUCAGGAGAAAAGGAGUGAAAGUGGAAGAUAAGACUGAAAAAUAAAAUUCAUAGGCUCGUACGCUAGAUUUUAUUUCAAGUGUAUACAUUCUUUUUUUAACAAGAGGAUUUUAUUUAAUUUGUCAGGAUCAUUGUUGUCCUGAAAUUUACUCUGAGCUUUGUCGUCUUGUCAGGUACACACACUGCUAGCUUGUAAGGAUUUCAAUAUUGGGACUUCAUACUGCACAUGAACUCGAGAGCAAACCAUGUGCUAAGGCUAGGCUGUCAAGGGAGCAUCUUGGAAAGACACCCGGAUUGUUCUGGGAAAGAUAAGCAGCUACUUCAUCAAUGGCUGAUUCUGUGCUCGGAGGGACAAUUAUUGAUGAUGAAGGGUCGCUUGCAACUGCUGGACAAAAGAAGAGGAGAGCUCCUGAGGAUCGCUUGGCAAGGGGGAGCAAGAUCGUCCCUGGGCGCGACGGACCUGGGCUCUGUGUGAGAGCUCAUUCUCAUUCGCUGUUCGAUCUAGGUGGUAGUAGUUUUAGUCUAUCUGCUGGGAUUUUUGGCGCCUGUACCUUGCUUCUCUAGUAUUAUACUUUUAUGUGUAGUCUUUGCUGGUCCUGGCUUCAGCUACUCUAGCUUGUGUUGAGCGCUGUUGAACAGUUUGUGUGUUUGCUGUGGCCUCGUUUUAAUGAAAUGGGGCGGGGGGAAACCCCUUUUCGAUCA